GAAUUCGCCCUUAGAGUUUGAUCCUGGCUCAGGAUGAACGCUAGCGGCAGGCCUAAUACAUGCAAGUCGAACGGGAGGCCCCCUCGGGGGCCGAGAGUGGCGCACGGGUGCGUAACGCGUAUGCAACCAACCCCCGACAGGGAGAUAGCCGGUGGAAACGCCGGGUAACCCCCCAUAGUCCCCAGGGAGGGCAUCCUUCCUGGGGUAAAGCUACGGCGGUCGGGGACGGGCAUGCGUCCCAUUAGGUGGUAGGCGGGGUCACGGCCCACCUAGCCUACGAUGGGUAGGGGAUCUGAGAGGACGGUCCCCCACACUGGUACUGAGACACGGCCCAAACUCCUACGGGAGGCAGCAGUGGGGGAUAUUGGUCAAUGGGGGAAACCCUGAACCAGCGACGCCGCGUGAGUGAAGAAGUAUUUCGGUAUGUAAAGCUCUAUCAGCAGGGAAGAAAAAAUCAAAAUUGACAGUACCUGACUAAGAAGCCCCCGCGAGCUGGCGCCAUCAGUUGCUGUGAGACUUAGGGUGCCAGGGGUACCCGGAUUUAGUGGAUGGUGAACGGAGUGUAGGCGGCGGAGGCGAGUCAGAUGUGAAAGCCCCGGGGCUCAACUCCGGGACGGGAGUUGAAACUGUUUUUGCUAGACUGGUUGAGAGGUCCACGGAAUUCCUAAUGUAGCGGUGAAAUGCCUAAAUAGUAGGCAAAACACCAGUGGGGAAGGCGGUCUACUGGUCAGUAACUGACGCUGAGGCGCGAAAGCGUGGGGAGCAAACAGGAUUAGAUACCCUGGUAGUCCACGCCGUAAGCGAUGAAUACUAGGUGUGGGGGGACUGACCCCCUCCGUGCCGCAGUUAACACAAUAAGUAUUCCACCUGGGGAGUACGGCCGCAAGGUUGAAACUCAAAGGAAUUGACGGGGGCCCGCACAAGCGGAGGAACAUGUGGUUUAAUUUGAUGAUACGCGAGGAACCUUACCCGGGCUCGAACGGCAAGUGAAGAGAUCCAGAGAUGGUGACGCCCUUCGGGGCACUUGUCGAGGUGCUGCAUGGUUGUCGUCAGCUCGUGUCGUGAGAUGUUGGGUUAAGUCCCGCAACGAGCGCAACCCUUGUCGUUAGUUACCAUCAGGUAAAGCUGGGGACUCUAACGAGACUGCCACCGCAAGGUGUGAGGAAGGCGGGGAGGACGUCAAAUCAGCACGGCCCUUACGUCCGGGGCGACACACGUGUUACAAUGGUAGCUACAGAGGGAAGCCACCUGGUGACAGGGAGCAGAUCUCGAAAAGCUAUCUCAGUUCGGAUUGGAGUUUGCAACUCGACUCCAUGAAGCUGGAUUCGCUAGUAAUCGCGCAUCAGCCAUGGCGCGGGGAAUACGUUCCCGGGCCUUGUACUCACCGCCCGUCA
RNAcentral lists this ribosomal RNA (1394 nucleotides) under uncultured bacterium. RNAcentral describes it as "partial 16S ribosomal RNA". It matches the Rfam family "Bacterial small subunit ribosomal RNA". The record is from RNAcentral.